This 415-nucleotide ribosomal RNA is filed under the name Staphylococcus sp. RNAcentral's name for it is "bacterial SSU rRNA". It matches the Rfam family "Bacterial small subunit ribosomal RNA", at positions 63 to 471 of the family's 1533-position model. Lineage: Bacteria; Bacillati; Bacillota; Bacilli; Caryophanales; Staphylococcaceae. The record is from RNAcentral.
CGAGCGAACAGAUAAGGAGCUUGCUCCUUUGACGUUAGCGGCGGACGGGUGAGUAACACGUGGAUAACCUACCUAUAAGACUGGGAUAACUUCGGGAAACCGGAGCUAAUACCGGAUAAGAUUUUGAACCGCAUGGUUCAAUAGUGAAAGACGGCCUUGCUGUCACUUAUAGAUGGAUCCGCGCCGUAUUAGCUAGUUGGUAAGGUAACGGCUUACCAAGGCAACGAUACGUAGCCGACCUGAGAGGGUGAUCGGCCACACUGGAACUGAGACACGGUCCAGACUCCUACGGGAGGCAGCAGUAGGGAAUCUUCCGCAAUGGGCGAAAGCCUGACGGAGCAACGCCGCGUGAGUGAUGAAGGUCUUCGGAUCGUAAAACUCUGUUAUCAGGGAAAACAACGUGUAAGUAACUGUG